This 482-nucleotide long non-coding RNA is filed under the name Jatropha curcas. Its description in RNAcentral is "long non-coding RNA (JCUR_LNC002488)". The record is from RNAcentral. Lineage: Eukaryota; Viridiplantae; Streptophyta; Magnoliopsida; Malpighiales; Euphorbiaceae.
UUACUAUUAUGAUCUCCGUGUCUAUAAAUAUAGGGUAAAUGCUCUUUUACUUCGCAAAAGAGACGGUCCUUCACUUCACUUCAGUUCACUAAAAUGGCAGCUGAGACUUCAUCUCCAUCCCAACCAUCCGAUAGGAAGCCUUCCGCCCUGAAAUUAUUUGGUUUUCCAUUAACUGACCACGACGAUGAAAUCCGAGACAAAACUGAAAAUUGUUUAGAGAGCAGGAAAUUCGAGUGCCAUUUUUGCCGGCGAGCCUUUGCCAACUCACAAGCAUUAGGAGGCCAUCAAAAUGCACAUAAGAGAGAGAGGCAAAGAGCGAGAAGAGCACAAUACCAUUGCGAUCGACGCUUGCUUGCAGCUGCUCCAAUUUUGAGCUCACAUGCCAUGAAAUCAACGUCGUCUUCUUCCAUUAUUUAUAAUGGAGGAUUUAUUAGAAACAUUGGUGUAGCUGCUAAAUUUAGGCCAUCGACGUCUCCCUUGCU